RNA transcript from Odocoileus virginianus texanus, 1506 nucleotides. It is a transcript of the gene named chromosome unknown C8orf33 homolog, with no coding region annotated. The record is from RefSeq and is a predicted model, not a curated record. NCBI's taxonomy places the organism in Eukaryota, Metazoa, Chordata, Mammalia, Artiodactyla, Cervidae.
CUUCGGUCCCGGCGGCAGCGCAUGGCGGCUCCAGGACAUCCUGCUCGGGAGACAGCGGCAGCCCCGGGCCCAGGACGCCCUACGUGCCGUGACGCUGCCUCGAGGACCAAGAAGCAAAAGAAGAAAACCCGGGAUGGAGCGUCUGUUGCCAAUGGAGGCGGGAAGACCCCAGAAAAGCAGGCCCCCGAGGAAGCCCCCCUAAGCGCAGAGGCCCAGGCUGAGCAGCUGGCUCGGGAACUGGCCUGGUGCGUGGAAAAGCUGGAGCUGGGACUGAAGAUGCAGAGACCCACCCCUAAGCAGAAAGAACAAGCUCUUGGGGCAAUCCGAACCCUGCGCAGCCAGAGAACACCCCUACCCCGGAAGAGGCAGCUGAUGCGCUCUUUGUUUGGGGACUACAGGGCUCAGAUAGAAGCCGAGUGGCGCGAGGCCCUGCAGGCUCUCAGGACUGCUGCCCACUCAGCCCAGGUGCAGCCUGUAGGUGAGGCGGCCAGAAAGAAGAGCCGAAGGGUCUGCAGACUUCGUCCACAAGGAAGGUCUACGGGCACCUUGGAUACUCGUGAUGAAGAGUUUAAGUUUAAUUUCUUUUAGCCUCUUCCCUAUUCUAGAGUGGCCGCCUCUGCAGUGGAGCAGGGUUUCUCUGGAGUGCAGCACUUUUCCAGGAAUGCUGGGGGCAGAUGGGAGACCUGCAUGUUUGGUGCUGACAAGCCCAGGACCCCAUUUGCAGGUUUUCAGCUGAGAUGUCCCUCCUGCCAGAAGAGGGAGGUUCCUUUAGAUGGUUCUACAGUAGAUUGAACAAAGUAACACCUGACAACUCUCUCCGCCAAGUGAGGACACACUGAGGUGGCUGGACUUUAGACCUGGGAGAGAACCCUGAACGGGAGCUCAAUCAGCCAGCACACUGGUCUUGGGCUUCUCAGCCUCCAGAAAUGUAAGAAAUAAACUUCUGGAUUUUAAACCACCUGGUCUGUGAUAUUUCAUUAUGGCAGCCUGAGCUAACACACCAUUCAGUGGGUGGGGGUAAAAAAAGCUUUUCAAGAAAUGUUAUAGGGAAAACUGUAUAUCCACCCGCAAAAGAGUAUAAAGUUGGACCCUUACCUGUUAAGAUAUAUAAAAAAUUAGCUCAAAACAGAUCAAAGACCAAACCAUAAGACCUAAAACUAUAAAUCUCUUUGAAGAAAAGAUAGGGGCCCAUCUUCAUAAUAUUGGAUUUAAUAAUUAUUUCCUGAGUAUGACACCCUAAGCACAGGCAACAAGAGAAAAAAACAGGUAAGUUUUUGUUUCUGUUUUGGCUGUGCUGGCUCUUCACUGCUGUAUGGGCUUUUUCUCUAGCUGCAGCGAGCAGCUGUGCACAGGCAUCUCUCGUUGCUUCUCUUGUCGAAGAGCAGGGGCUCUAGGGCUAAUGAGCUCCAGAGCACAAGCUCCGAGUUCGGCGCACAGGCUUGCAUGCUCCAGGGCAUGUGGGCAUGUUCCCGGAUCAGGGGUUGAACUCACGUCUCCUCCACUGAC